Molecule: ribosomal RNA, 301 nt
Filed under: uncultured bacterium
Lineage: Bacteria
Description: partial 16S ribosomal RNA
Rfam family: Bacterial small subunit ribosomal RNA
Source: RNAcentral
CAGUCGCCGCGGGAAUACGUAGGUGGCAAGCGUUGUCCGGAAUUAUUGGGCGUAAAGCGCGCGCAGGUGGUUUAAUAAGUCUGAUGUGAAAGCCCACGGCUCAACCGUGGAGGGUCAUUGGAAACUGUUAAACUUGAGUGCAGAAGAGGAGAGUGGAAUUCCACGUGUAGCGGUGAAAUGCGUAGAGAUGUGGAGGAACACCAGUGGCGAAGGCGACUCUCUGGUCUGUAACUGACGCUGAGGAGCGAAAGCGUGGGGAGCGAACAGGAUUAGAUACCCGCGUAGUCCCUGUCUCUUAUAC